UGUAAGAAUAGAUACAACCUUCAUUGGAAGAUUAAAAAAUUAAUCUAGCCUCAUCCUAACAUCUGGUCUUCAACUCUGAUACAAUUUAUUCAAAACGGUGUACCAGGUUAGCUGCUGGAAGACUUGGCUUCUCUAAAAUCUCAGGAGGACUUCUGCUUUGAGCGGUCUAACUUGUCUUCUCCACGGGCCAACACUUCGAGACAGUGACCCAGAGAGCGAGAGAAAGAGGAUCUCCUAAAAAGACCAGAGGAUGGAAGAAGAGCAGCAAUGGAAAAGUUCAAGGGUACCUCAGAAGAAAAAGGGAAAGAAGUUAGUGGAACGCCCCAGAUGGAGACAUGUCAAGUCCGUGGCACCUUAUCAGACUGACAGAAAAGCAAAAACCUCUUCUUCACGUGACCCAGAUCAGAACAGAUUCAAAUGUGAAUGCUACUACUGCCUGAGGUAUGUGGGCACCACCUCUGGAGUCUCCACUGGGAGCAAAGCAACAACCUCUCAUUCUUCCUGUUGUGAUAAGCUAAUACAGGAACUCAACAACUUAAAGCUCAACUCUGAGAACACGCAACCCCCCGCUCUCUGACAAAAACAGAGAGCAGGAAAGGGAUGAGAAGAGACAAAAACA
Molecule: long non-coding RNA, 619 nt
Organism: Myotis davidii
Lineage: Eukaryota; Metazoa; Chordata; Mammalia; Chiroptera; Vespertilionidae
Exons: 4
Source: RefSeq, a predicted model, not a curated record